Molecule: ribosomal RNA, 775 nt
Filed under: uncultured Desulfobacterales bacterium
Lineage: Bacteria; Pseudomonadati; Thermodesulfobacteriota; Desulfobacteria; Desulfobacterales
Description: SSU rRNA
Rfam family: Bacterial small subunit ribosomal RNA
Source: RNAcentral
GUUUCCUUCGGGAAAUUAGUAAAGUGGCGCAAGGGUGAGUAUCACGUGAAUAAUCUGCCCUCGAGAUCGGGAUAACAUGGUGAAAACUAUGCUAAUACCGGAUAAGACCACAUUUCAUAAGAAAUGCGGUAAAAGGAGUCUCAAUCUUCACUCGAGGAUGAGUUCGCGCAACAUUAGCUUGUUGGUGAGAUAAAAGCUCACCAAGGCUACGAUGUUUAGCCGGCCUGAGAGGGUGAACGGCCACACUGGAACUGAGACACGGUCCAGACUCCUACGGGAGGCAGCAGUGGGGAAUAUUGCGCAAUGGGCGAAAGCCUGACGCAGCAACGCCGUGUGAGCGAUGAAGGCUUUAGGGUCGUAAAGCUCUGUCAAAUGGGAAGAAUUUUGACGGUACCAUUAGAGGAAGCCCCGGCUAACUCCGUGCCAGCAGCCGCGGUAAUACGGAGGGGGCAAGCGUUGUUCGGAAUUAUUGGGCGUAAAGCGUAUGUAGGCGGCUAAGUAAGUCAGGCGUGCAAGCCCGUGGCUCAACCACGGAAUUGCGUUUGAAACUACUUAGCUUGAGUACAGGAGAGGAAAGCGGAAUUCCCAGUGUAGCGGUGAAAUGCAUUGAUAUUGGGAGGAACAUCUGUGGCGAAGGCGGCUUUCUGGUCUGUAACUGACGCUGAGAUACGAAAGCCAGGGUAGCGAACGGGAUUAGAUACCCCGGUAGUCCUGGCUGUAAACGAUGGGCACUAGGUGCAGGAGGUAUCGAUCCCUUCUGUGCCGUAGCUAACGC